This 1069-nucleotide ribosomal RNA is filed under the name uncultured soil bacterium. Its description in RNAcentral is "bacterial SSU rRNA". It matches the Rfam family "Bacterial small subunit ribosomal RNA", at positions 9 to 1066 of the family's 1533-position model. The record is from RNAcentral.
GAGUUUGAUCCUGGCUCAGGACGAACGCUGGCGGCGUGCUUAACACAUGCAAGUCGAACGGAAAGGCCCUGCUUUUGUGGGGUGCUCGAGUGGCGAACGGGUGAGUAACACGUGAGUAACCUGCCCUUGACUUUGGGAUAACUUCAGGAAACUGGGGCUAAUACCGGAUAGGAGCUCCUGCUGCAUGGUGGGGGUUGGAAAGUUUCGGCGGUUGGGGAUGGACUCGCGGCUUAUCAGCUUGUUGGUGGGGUAGUGGCUUACCAAGGCUUUGACGGGUAGCCGGCCUGAGAGGGUGACCGGCCACAUUGGGACUGAGAUACGGCCCAGACUCCUACGGGAGGCAGCAGUGGGGAAUAUUGCACAAUGGGCGGAAGCCUGAUGCAGCAACGCCGCGUGCGGGAUGACGGCCUUCGGGUUGUAAAGUACUUUCAGCGGGGAGGAAGGGAGUAAAGUUAAUACCUUUGCUCAUUGACGUUACCCGCAGAAGAAGCACCGGCUAACUCCGUGCCAGCAGCCGCGGUGAUACGUAGGGUGCGAGCGUUGUCCGGAUUUAUUGGGCGUAAAGGGCUCGUAGGUGGUUGAUCGCGUCGGAAGUGUAAUCUUGGGGCUUAACCCUGAGCGUGCUUUCGAUACGGGUUGACUUGAGGAAGGUAGGGGAGAAUGGAAUUCCUGGUGGAGCGGUGGAAUGCGCAGAUAUCAGGAGGAACACCAGUGGCGAAGGCGGUUCUCUGGGCCUUUCCUGACGCUGAGGAGCGAAAGCGUGGGGAGCGAACAGGCUUAGAUACCCUGGUAGUCCACGCUGUAAACGGUGGGUACUAGGUGUGGGGUCCAUUCCACGGGUUCCGUGCCGUAGCUAACGCUUUAAGUACCCCGCCUGGGGAGUACGGCCGCAAGGCUAAAACUCAAAGGAAUUGACGGGGCCCCGCACAAGCGGCGGAGCAUGCGGAUUAAUUCGAUGCAACGCGUAGAACCUUACCUGGGUUUGACAUGGAUCGGGAGUGCUCAGAGAUGGGUGUGCCUCUUUUGGGGUCGGUUCACAGGUGGUGCAUGGCUGUCGUCAGCUCGUGUU